Molecule: ribosomal RNA, 909 nt
Filed under: uncultured bacterium
Lineage: Bacteria
Description: bacterial SSU rRNA
Rfam family: Bacterial small subunit ribosomal RNA
Source: RNAcentral
ACGCUGGCGGCGUGCCUAAUACAUGCAAGUAGAACGCUGAAGGAGGAGCUUGCUCUUCUGGAUGAGUUGCGAACGGGUGAGUAACGCGUAGGUAACCUGCCUGGUAGCGGGGGAUAACUAUUGGAAACGAUAGCUAAUACCGCAUAAUAGUAGAUGUUGCAUGACAUUUGCUUAAAAGGUGCAAUUGCAUCACUACCAGAUGGACCUGCGUUGUAUUAGCUAGCUGGUGAGGUAACGGCUCACCAAGGCAACGAUACAUAGCCGACCUGAGAGGGUGAUCGGCCACACUGGGACCGAGACACGGCCCAGACUCCUACGGGAGGCAGCAGUAGGGAAUCUUCGGCAAUGGACGGAAGUCUGACCGAGCAACGCCGCGUGAGUGAAGAAGGUUUUCGGAUCGUAAAGCUCUGUUGUGAGAGAAGAACGAGUGUGAGAGUGGAAAGUUCACACUGUGACGGUAUCUUACCAGAAAGGGACGGCUAACUACGUGCCAGCAGCCGCGGUAAUACGUAGGUCCCGAGCGUUGUCCGGAUUUAUUGGGCGUAAAGCGAGCGCAGGCGGUUAGAUAGGUCUGAAGUUAAAGGCUGUGGCUUAACCAUAGUACGCUUUGGAAACUGUUUAACUUGAGUGCAAGAGGGGAGAGUGGAAUUCCAUGUGUAGCGGUGAAAUGCGUAGAUAUAUGGAGGAACACGGGUGGCGAAAGCGGCUCUCUGGCUUGUAACUGACGCUGAGGCUCGAAAGCGUGGGGAGCAAACAGGAUUAGAUACCCUGGUAGUCCACGCCGUAAACGAUGAGUGCUAGGUGUUAGACCCCUUUCCGGGGUUUAGUGCCGCAGCUAACGCAUUAAGCACUCCGCCUGGGGAGUACGACCGCAAGGUUGAAACUCAAAGGAAUUGACGGGGGCCCGCA